Molecule: transfer RNA, 77 nt
Filed under: bacterium (Candidatus Torokbacteria) CG_4_10_14_0_2_um_filter_35_8
Lineage: Bacteria
Description: tRNA-Ile
Rfam family: tRNA
About the family: Transfer RNA (tRNA) molecules are approximately 80 nucleotides in length. Their secondary structure includes four short double-helical elements and three loops (D, anti-codon, and T loops). Further hydrogen bonds mediate the characteristic L-shaped molecular structure. tRNAs have two regions of fundamental functional importance: the anti-codon, which is responsible for specific mRNA codon recognition, and the 3' end, to which the tRNAs corresponding amino acid is attached (by aminoacyl-tRNA synthetases). tRNAs cope with the degeneracy of the genetic code in two manners: having more than one tRNA (with a specific anti-codon) for a particular amino acid; and 'wobble' base-pairing, i.e. permitting non-standard base-pairing at the 3rd anti-codon position.
Source: RNAcentral
GGGCGUGUAGCUCAGUUGGCUAGAGCGCAUUCCUGAUAAGAAUGAGGUCCUUGGUUCAAAUCCAAGCACGCCCACAA